This 497-nucleotide ribosomal RNA is filed under the name uncultured bacterium. RNAcentral describes it as "partial 16S ribosomal RNA". It matches the Rfam family "Bacterial small subunit ribosomal RNA", at positions 28 to 507 of the family's 1533-position model. The record is from RNAcentral.
GAUGAACGCUGGCGGCGUGCCUAAUACAUGCCAGUCGAGCGAACGGACGAGAAGCUUGCUUCUCUGAUGUUAGCGGCGGACAGGUGAGUAACACGUGGAUAACCUACCUAUAAGACUGGGAUAACUUCGGGAAACCGUAGCUAAUACCGGAUAAUAUUUUGAACCGCAUGGUUCAAGAGUGAAAGACGGUCUUGCUGUCACUUAUAGAUGGAUCCGCGCUGCAUUAGCUAGUUGGUAAGGUAACGGCUUACCAAGGCAACGAUGCAUAGCCGACCUGAGAGGGUGAUCGGCCACACUGGAACUGAGACACGGUCCAGACUCCUACGGGAGGCAGCAGUAGGGAAUCUUCCGCAAUGGGCGAAAGCCUGACGGAGCAACGCCGCGUGAGUGAUGAAGGUCUUCGGAUCGUAAAACUCUGUUAUUAGGGAAGAACAUAUGUGUAAGUAACUGUGCACAUCUUGACGGUACCUAAUCAGAAAGCCACGGCUAACUACGUG